AUCACAAAAAAUUAUUACACAUAGGAAACAAUAAACCUAACCUGCAAUAUUUUCAAAUUACAAGCGUAACAAUAAUUGAAGACCACAAAUCUGUCUCAAACGGUUAAAUCUUUUCUCCUUCUCUUUCAAUUUCCCUUUAAAAAAAUCUCCUGUAUUGAGUUUUCCUAAGCUUAUCUUUCAAUAAUUUGUUUGUUCUUUAAUUUUUUUUAACAAUGACCUAAGAAGAUCCUUUAUGGCUUGAGUUGGUUCCGAGGGGCAAACGUCCACAUUUUCAAGUUCAAACGAGGUCCAGAGCGGGAAUAAUCAAAUUUUUCGUUUUAUGUGUGCUAUAGUACAUGGAUUUUUGGUGAUAAGUGAUCCUGAUGGGUUUUUGGCUGAAAUUUUUUGUGGGCCUCCGUUAAGACCCUAUUAAUGGCGUGAAUUUGUCACGAGGGGCAAAAGUCCACAUUUUCAAGUUCAAACGAGGCUCAGAGCGGGAAUGACCAUAUUUACUGUAUAUAUUGUGAUAGUAUUUUGGUUGUUUAGUUGUCCCAUCAAAAUGAUAGUUAUUAUGCAUAUAUACUUAGUUGAUUGCAUUUUGGAAGUCACUUCCAUGUAUAAAUGAAUUUUCACCAGAAAUUUCAUUGAUGAGUGAUAAAACGGUGUCCGGAGAACCAAUAAAGUAGCUACGACAAGAGGGAGUUGCUCAGAUUGUAAGUAUUCCUCACUUUCAAUUCUAAGGCUCUUAGUUCAUGUCACAAAGAGAGCAAAAAUGUUGGAGCGCCUUGGAAAAGGGUUAAAUAAAAUAAAAUAAAAGUAGUUACUUUAAUUAGAGCUACUUAAUUAAAGUGGUUAAUUCUAUCAGUCUAAUUCAAUUAGUAUGACUUGUUUUAAAUUUUUAAUAGGACUAGAUGUAAGAAAAUGCACUAAUUAUAAUACCAUGUUCUUUUCCCCUUGUUUUACUAUAUUAAUCAUGGUUUAAAAUGAUCGUGUGUUAUAUAUAGGAGAUGAGAGUUGAUUAGAGAAAGGAUCUAUAAAAGUGUUUUUCAUCAAAUAUUCAAUAUUAUUUAUUCUUUAAUAAACAUAGAGAAUCGAAAAUAUCUCCAAGAAUGACUUUGAACUAUAUUUAGACAACUAAUGUUUCUAUUUAGUAUUACUUUUUCAAAAUAAUGUUAUUUUUCUAUUUUAUGUUCAAAUUUUG
RNAcentral lists this long non-coding RNA (1180 nucleotides) under Solanum tuberosum (potato). RNAcentral describes it as "long non-coding RNA (STUB_LNC008636)". The record is from RNAcentral. Lineage: Eukaryota; Viridiplantae; Streptophyta; Magnoliopsida; Solanales; Solanaceae.